GACGAACGCUGGCGGCGUGCCUAAUACAUGCAAGUCGAACGCAGUGGGGACGGGUGAGUAACACGUGGGUAACCUCCCAUCAGAGGGGAUAACACUUGGAAACAGGUGCUAAACCGAUACUGAUGGAUGGACCCGCGGUGCAUUAGCUAGUUGGGGAGGUAACGGCUCACCAAGGCCACGAUGCAUAGCCGGCCUGGGAGGGUGAUCGGCCACACUGGGACUGGGACACGGCCCAGACUCCUACGGGAGGCAGCAGUAGGGAAUCUUCGGCAAUGGGCGGAAGUCUGACCGAGCAAAGCCGCGGGAGUGAAGAAGGUUUUCGGAUCGUAAAGCUCUGUUGUAAGAGAAGCGGUAUCUUACCAGAAAGGGACGGCUAACUACGUGCCAGCAGCCGCGGUAAUUC
Molecule: ribosomal RNA, 403 nt
Filed under: uncultured bacterium
Lineage: Bacteria
Description: partial 16S ribosomal RNA
Rfam family: Bacterial small subunit ribosomal RNA
Source: RNAcentral